CAGACUAGAAGAUUACAAGUAUUGAGGUGGACAAAAUGAAACAUGAGCCUACCAAAGCUGACAGAUUGCACAAGAAACACAUAAAUGCAGAUUGGAAGAUUCAUUCUCUGGAAAGUAGAAAAGGGCAUGUUACAUACUGUUAUCACUGCCAUGACAGAAACCAUAUUGAGGAGCUGGUCCACCUGUAGGAAGAAUUGCUCUAUUGGUUGGAGCAGCACUAUUACCCAGCCAUACACCAGCACUUAGUUUGUCAUAGGGAGCAUUUCUGAGCAGUUAUGGAGACCACUAACUAUGCAGUUGUUGCAGUGAAACUUGCACCAGUGUGUUUUCUGUGGAGAUAAAGAGAUAGUGUCCAGCAAUGAAGACCCAAUUCAAGAUCUGACCUUGUAAGGCCAAUAUGAAAUAACUGUGUGGGAAAAUGGGAAAAACCUGCAGUCAGGAAUGCACGGAAAUCAUCAAAAGAACAGUGUUAAAUUAAUCUUGAAUAACUUGACAUUUAUUUUGUUUGACAUAUUUAUUCAUGGUGCAGUGAAAACAUUCUUUUUUUUCUCAUGGUUAUUUAAAUUUAGAAUUGAUAGGAGGGAACAUCACUAUGUAGUUUUAUGUUCAUAGUCAGAUCAAAACCCAUGUACAUGCCCAAAUGAGCAUUCGAAAAUAUCAAAAUGGUACUUGUUGUAUGUAGUGUAAGUUAAUUAACAUAAUAAACAAAAGUAUUUAAACAAUUUCAAUUUAUUAUGCCCCUUUCAAAGAAGAGGAGUAUAUUGCUUUGCACAUGUUGGCCGCUACGUCCGUCUGUCUGACAGUAGACCAAAGCUUUUCCGGGUGAUAACUCUACAAUUCCUAGACCUAUUGUCAAACUUGACAUGAAAGUUUGGUUUAACCAGUAGAUGACCCCUUUUGAUUUUAGGGGUAAUAUGGUCAAAGGUCACAGUGACCUUGAACAGGAAGGUGUCAAACCAUACAUCUGAC
Molecule: long non-coding RNA, 969 nt
Organism: Mya arenaria
Lineage: Eukaryota; Metazoa; Mollusca; Bivalvia; Myida; Myidae
Exons: 3
Source: RefSeq, a predicted model, not a curated record